RNAcentral lists this ribosomal RNA (936 nucleotides) under Triticum aestivum (bread wheat). RNAcentral describes it as "partial small subunit ribosomal RNA". The record is from RNAcentral. Lineage: Eukaryota; Viridiplantae; Streptophyta; Magnoliopsida; Poales; Poaceae.
AUGGGUGGAGCAGGAAAGACUACACUCGCUAGAAAAGUGUACAAUUCACCUAGAGUUAAAGAAUACUUUAAUGAAUUUUCUUGGGUGACUGUAUCCCAAAAGUUCAAGGGCAUUGAUCUACUAAAUGAUAUUCUAAAACAAAUAACAGGGGCCAGUUAUGAAUCAAGCAAGGCAACUGAUCAAAUCCAGGAGAAUGAGAUCGGAAAGAAGAUCCAUGACUUUCUAUUACAAAGAAGAUACUUGUUGGUUCUUGAUGAUGUGUGGGAGGCAGACACUUGGGAGCAAAUAAAUAGAGCAGCUAAAGUCUUUCCAGAUACAAAUAAUGGCUGUAGAGUACUGUUAACCACACGGAAAAAAGAUGUUGCGCAUCAUAUUGAAAUGCCAACUUAUGUUUGUGAUGUAAAGCUCAUAGAUGAAGAGAAAUCUUGGGAGCUUUUUAAAAGCAAAGCUUUACCAUCAUACAGAACGUACAUGAUAUGUAAUCCUGAUAAGUUUGAAGAAAUAGGGAGAAAACUUGCAAGGAAGUGUGCUGGCCUGCCACUUGCAGUUGCAGUUCUUGGGGGGUAUCUAUCGAAGAAUCUAAAUGUAGAGGAAUGGUCAGAUUUACUUUUGGGUUGGACAUCCAUAGAAGAAGUAGAGGUGGUUGGACACAUACUAGCUCGGAGUUAUAAUGACUUGUCAAAUAAGAGGCGCAAGUCAUGUUUCCUCUAUGUUGCUUCCUUCCCGGAGGAUUAUCCUAUAACUGUGGCAGAUCUGAUUGAACUUUGGAUAGCUGAAUGCUUCAUUCCACAUACAGUAAGGCAUACAAUGGAAGAAAUGGCACAGAGGUAUGUUACCGAUUUGGCUCAAAGAAACUUGGUGCAAUUUGAGUUUGGAGUAGCAGCUGAUUAUAUGUCAAUCCAAACAAUAAGGAUUCAUGAUGUUCUACGUGAUUGA